This 637-nucleotide ribosomal RNA is filed under the name Trichoderma strigosum. RNAcentral describes it as "eukaryotic LSU rRNA". The stretch from base 243 to 396 matches the Rfam family "5.8S ribosomal RNA". Lineage: Eukaryota; Fungi; Ascomycota; Sordariomycetes; Hypocreales; Hypocreaceae. The record is from RNAcentral.
GAUGUAAGUAAAAGUCGUAACAAGGUCUCCGUUGGUGAACCAGCGGAGGGAUCAUUACCGAGUUUACAACUCCCAAACCCAAUGUGAACGUUACCAAACUGUUGCCUCGGCGGGGUCACGCCCCGGGCGCGUCGCAGCCCCGGAACCAGGCGCCCGCCGGAGGGACCAACCAAACUCUUUACUGUAGUCCCCUCGCGGACGUUUUUACUUACAGCUCUGAGCAAAAAUUCAAAAUGAAUCAAAACUUUCAACAACGGAUCUCUUGGUUCUGGCAUCGAUGAAGAACGCAGCGAAAUGCGAUAAGUAAUGUGAAUUGCAGAAUUCAGUGAAUCAUCGAAUCUUUGAACGCACAUUGCGCCCGCCAGUAUUCUGGCGGGCAUGCCUGUCCGAGCGUCAUUUCAACCCUCGAACCCCUCCGGGGGGUCGGCGUUGGGGACCUCGGGAGCCCCUAAGACGGGAUCCCGGCCCCGAAAUACAGUGGCGGUCUCGCCGCAGCCUCUCCUGCGCAGUAGUUUGCACAACUCGCACCGGGAGCGCGGCGCGUCCACGUCCGUAAAACACCCAACUUUCUGAAAUGUUGACCUCGGAUCAGGUAGGAAUACCCGCUGAACUUAAGCAUAUCAAUAAGUCGGAGAAA